RNAcentral lists this ribosomal RNA (374 nucleotides) under Pseudomonas sp. LL97. Its description in RNAcentral is "bacterial SSU rRNA". It matches the Rfam family "Bacterial small subunit ribosomal RNA", at positions 56 to 431 of the family's 1533-position model. The record is from RNAcentral. Lineage: Bacteria; Pseudomonadati; Pseudomonadota; Gammaproteobacteria; Pseudomonadales; Pseudomonadaceae.
UGCAGUCGAGCGGCAGCACGGGUACUUGUACCUGGUGGCGAGCGGCGGACGGGUGAGUAAUGCCUAGGAAUCUGCCUGGUAGUGGGGGAUAACGCUCGGAAACGGACGCUAAUACCGCAUACGUCCUACGGGAGAAAGCAGGGGACCUUCGGGCCUUGCGCUAUCAGAUGAGCCUAGGUCGGAUUAGCUAGUUGGUGAGGUAAUGGCUCACCAAGGCGACGAUCCGUAACUGGUCUGAGAGGAUGAUCAGUCACACUGGAACUGAGACACGGUCCAGACUCCUACGGGAGGCAGCAGUGGGGAAUAUUGGACAAUGGGCGAAAGCCUGAUCCAGCCAUGCCCCGUGUGUGAAGAAUGUCUUCGGAUUGUGAAAU